Paramuricea clavata is the source of this 245-nucleotide non-coding RNA. Lineage: Eukaryota; Metazoa; Cnidaria; Anthozoa; Malacalcyonacea; Plexauridae. The record is from the annotation of a GenBank genome assembly.
UUUCCUAAAUUCCUCGUUUUCAGAUUCGCUGUUUUUCACAACGAUACUACUAUUGAGAUAACUCAACGUUAUCAAGGGGGUUCUGAAAAAGCUACUUAAGGGAACUUAGUCCCUUUAGUCCCUCCGGUUAUCUUUUCGUGUCACGCAAACACGAAACCUAAUCCUAACCAUAACCUCCUAACUGCUUACAUUUAGUGACUGCGUGACAUGAAAAUUUAACCAGAUGCUCUUUCACUUUGUGGGAC